UUAGUGUUACUCAUAUAAGCUUUAUUUAUACCUAAUACUUAUUAAAUUAGGUAUGUGUGUAAAACUAUUUUUUUACUAGGAUUUCUGAUGCACUGGUUAAAAACACAGCAGCCGAUAAUUCAGUUAAUUUACCAAGUGAUUUGCCCUUCAAAGCUGCAGGGGUAGUUUUCCUGAAGAGUGCAAAAACUUCUUUAGAUUCCAAAAUGGUAUAUAGUACAAACAGUGAAGCUAAUAUACACAAAUCUGAUCAUUCAUCAACAAUAACUGCAUCUGAGAUUAAUUGUUACCGUCUAGGUUUAGGUCAACAAUUACUAUUUCUCAUCCAAGCCGUUUUUGUUUAACUGCUACAAAUUCCCUGACUCUGCCAAGGAAAAGGGUAAAAUCAAAAUGAUAUCCUGAGGACCUAAGCACUGAUGAUUCCACCGUUUCAAAAGCUAAAUCACUUGUCACCAAAUUAUGGAAAAAAAAAUAAAGAACAAAAAAAUUAAAUUCGAAGAUUGCAACAAAAAAAUUUGCGCCAAAGAAAUUGAAUUAGAUGU
Long non-coding RNA from Anthonomus grandis grandis, 539 nucleotides. RefSeq lists it as uncharacterized. The record is from RefSeq and is a predicted model, not a curated record. NCBI's taxonomy places the organism in Eukaryota, Metazoa, Arthropoda, Insecta, Coleoptera, Curculionidae. The transcript is spliced from 3 exons.